RNAcentral lists this ribosomal RNA (253 nucleotides) under uncultured bacterium. Its description in RNAcentral is "partial 16S ribosomal RNA". It matches the Rfam family "Bacterial small subunit ribosomal RNA", at positions 524 to 776 of the family's 1533-position model. The record is from RNAcentral.
UACGAAGGGGGCGAGCGUUGUUCGGAAUUACUGGGCGUAAAGGGCGCGUAGGCGGUUCGGUAAGUCCUGUGUGAAAUCCCUCGGCUCAACUGAGGAACUGCACGGGAGACUGCCGGGCUUGAGUUCGGGAGAGGGAAGCGGAAUUCCGGGUGUAGCGGUGAAAUGCGUAGAUAUCCGGAGGAACACCGGUGGCGAAGGCGGCUUCCUGGACCGACACUGACGCUGAGGCGCGAAGGCAUGGGGAGCGAACGGG